Eufriesea mexicana is the source of this 1265-nucleotide long non-coding RNA. RefSeq lists it as uncharacterized. The record is from RefSeq and is a predicted model, not a curated record. The transcript is spliced from 4 exons. NCBI's taxonomy places the organism in Eukaryota, Metazoa, Arthropoda, Insecta, Hymenoptera, Apidae.
AUUACUAAAUUCCGGUAUUCUGAGCGCAUGAAACGUUCCAAGUACGAGAUGCAGGAUCGAUCGUGCGGUACUGAAGAAAUGAUCUAGAAUCAUCUUCAGGAUCGCUCGUCGUCCUAUCUCGAACGCGGUGCAUGCUUGCGCAAUGAUGAAAAACGAAGAAACAUUCUGCAAAGAUACUCCCACUGCACAGAAAUUUGUACAGAAAUUGUUGUAAAUCGAAAUUCAGUAGAAAAUUCGAUGGCAAGUAAUUCAAGCUGUAAAUAAUUGUACACGUUCCAGUAAUUGCAAUAAAAGUUGUUCUUAGCCGAUUGCAUUAUUUACUAUUACCAGAGUACAUAUGCGUGUCAAAGAUAUAAUGGAAAAUUAAAAAUUGGUACAUCUGAUGAGAAAUUUCGAGAAUUCGAAACACCACGUAAUACAGUUCACUCGUUUCACGAUACUUUUGACGAUUACCUUUAUGAAGAAUUCUCGGUGGAUCAAGAGCAAAUAUAGGAGGAAAUAAUUAAUUAUUUAUUACGAUUAAUCGAGCUAUAUUUUAUACACGAAUAUUUCAAAAUCGAUCGAUCAUACAUGGAGAUUUAUUUAUAUUUUACGAAUAGUCCCUUGAAAGUUAGGCAGAUAAAAAUGUCUUUGGCGUUCGAUAUUUUUCUACAUGGGUCGAAGCAAAUAAACGAAGAAAUAACUAUUCACGACUAUUAACGAAACCCCCAAUUUCAUAAAUGAACAUUAAAAAGAUGGAUCGAUCAUACCUGGAUAUUUAUUUUACAAAUGAUGGAUCACGAGCAAGCGAACGAAGAAAUAAUCAAUUAUUCUUAUAAUUCUAUUUUAUAAACGAAUAUUUAAAAACCAAUCAACCCGUUGGUCGAUCAAUCCAAAAACCUUCUACACGGAUACUCGUAGAUAAUGGUUGAAAAAUUGGGCACAUAGAGAUAUUUUCCCACACAAACUACGAACUAUCAAGCAAGGAAAUAACUAAUUAUUCGUCACGAUUAACAAGAUAUUAAGAAAACCCUGUUUUACAAGCGGAUAUUUAAACGAUCGUUCGAUCGUGGACAAAUGUUUCUUUUAUUCAAACAUGUACGUUUAUUCAAAGUCGCUCGAUAGAUGGAUAUUAAUAUUUUCUAAAAGGAACGUUUCCAUCGGCCGAAAGAAAUUUCAAUCAUGUCUUACAGAGCUUUUCUGGUACCUGUUGUGUCGGCAACACACACGUCGUUGGUAUUUCGUGUACGUAUACUCUGUUCGCGUUCCAUUUCUUUCGAAUAGGU